This 252-nucleotide ribosomal RNA is filed under the name uncultured bacterium. RNAcentral describes it as "partial 16S ribosomal RNA". It matches the Rfam family "Bacterial small subunit ribosomal RNA", at positions 525 to 776 of the family's 1533-position model. The record is from RNAcentral.
ACGGAGGGGGUUAGCGUUGUUCGGAAUUACUGGGCGUAAAGCGCACGUAGGCGGAUAUUUAAGUCAGAGGUGAAAUCCCAGGGCUCAACCCUGGAACGGCCUUUGAUACUGGGUAUCUUGAGUUCGAGAGAGGUGAGUGGAAUUCCGAGUGUAGAGGUGAAAUUCGUAGAUAUUCGGAGGAACACCAGUGGCGAAGGCGGCUCACUGGCUCGAUACUGACGCUGAGGUGCGAAAGCGUGGGGAGCAAACAGG